GAUGAACGCUGGCGGCGUGCCUAAUACAUGCCAGUCGAGCGAACGGAAAAAAACAUUGCUUCUAUGAUAUUAACGAAGGAAGAGUGAGUAACACGUGGAACACCUAACUAUAAGACUGGGAUAACUUCGGGAAACCGGAGCUAAUACCGGAUGAUAUUUUGAACCGCAUGGUUCAAAAGUGAAAGACGGUCUUGCUGUCACUUAUAGAUGGAUCCGCGCUGCAUUAGCUAGUUGGUAAGGUAACGGCUUACCAAGGCAACGAUGCAUAGCCGACCUGAGAGGGUGAUCGGCCACACUGGAACUGAGGCACGGUCCAGACUCCUACGGGAGGCAGCAGUAGGGAAUCUUCCGCAAUGGGCGAAAGCCUGACGGAGCAACGCCGCGUGAGUGAUGAAGGUCUUCGGAUCGUAAAACUCUGUUAUUAGGGAAGAACAUAUGUGUAAGUAACUGUGCACAUCUUGACGGUACCUAAUCAGAAAGCCACGGCUAACUACGUG
This 497-nucleotide ribosomal RNA is filed under the name uncultured bacterium. RNAcentral describes it as "partial 16S ribosomal RNA". It matches the Rfam family "Bacterial small subunit ribosomal RNA", at positions 28 to 507 of the family's 1533-position model. The record is from RNAcentral.